RNAcentral lists this long non-coding RNA (420 nucleotides) under Setaria italica (foxtail millet). RNAcentral's name for it is "long non-coding RNA (SITA_LNC006096)". The record is from RNAcentral. Lineage: Eukaryota; Viridiplantae; Streptophyta; Magnoliopsida; Poales; Poaceae.
CCUAUUUCAUUAAUAGAGAAGAAGAGUACAACCGGCUAGUCGGAAAGAAAUAAAAGAGUUAUUCUCAUUGUACAAGAGACGCUAGAUCUUUGGCUCUUGCUAAGUCCCAAGCUGCCACCUCACUUUUGAUUUUGACCAUCAGUUCCGGCAUCGACGUUUCUCGCUAUCUAAAAACUCUCACGUUUCGCUUAUUCCAGACCUCCCAGAUUACCAAUAACGAAUUAGACACCAGCCGGAAUCUCUGUCACCAAAACGGGGCUUAAAUACUCUCCAAAUGGUGGGCAAGGAUGGAUAUCGUUGAAAAAAGGAUUAAACUAUGCAGUCUGGUUGUACAAACUCCAAUCAAAAUCGCCAGCGCCACGGGCCCACGUCUUUUGCAGGCUUCCGGCUGAGGCUGGCUGGCUCUGCUGGCUGACCGGC